AUUGAACGCUGGCGGAAUGCUUUACACAUGCAAGUCGAACGGCAGCACGGACUUCGGUCUGGUGGCGAGUGGUGAACGGGUGAGUAAUAUAUCGGAACGUAUCCAAUAAUGGGGGAUAACUAAUCGAAAGGUUGGCUAAUACCGCAUACGUCCUACGGGAGAAAGCUAGGGACCUUCGGGCCUGGCGUUAAUGGAGCGGCCGAUAUCGGAUUAGCUAGUUGGUGAGGUAAAGGCUCACCAAGGCGACGAUCCGUAGCUGGUCUGAGAGGACGACCAGCCACACUGGAACUGAGACACGGUCCAGACUCCUACGGGAGGCAGCAGUGGGGAAUUUUGGACAAUGGGCGAAAGCCUGAUCCAGCCAUUCCGCGCGAGUGAAGAAGGCCUUCGGGUUGUAAAGCUCUUUCGCAAGAGAAGAAAACUUACCCUCUAACAUAGGGUGAGGUUGACGGUAUCUUGAUAAGAAGCACCGGCUAACUACGUGCCAGCCGCCGCGGUAA
RNAcentral lists this ribosomal RNA (500 nucleotides) under uncultured bacterium. RNAcentral's name for it is "partial 16S ribosomal RNA". It matches the Rfam family "Bacterial small subunit ribosomal RNA", at positions 30 to 523 of the family's 1533-position model. The record is from RNAcentral.